This 252-nucleotide ribosomal RNA is filed under the name uncultured bacterium. RNAcentral's name for it is "partial 16S ribosomal RNA". It matches the Rfam family "Bacterial small subunit ribosomal RNA", at positions 524 to 776 of the family's 1533-position model. The record is from RNAcentral.
UACGUAGGGUGCUAGCGUUAUCCGGAUUUACUGGGCGUAAAGGGUGCGUAGGUGGUCUUUCAAGUCGGUGGUUAAAGGCUACGGCUCAACCGUAUUAAGCCGCCGAAACUGGAAGACUUGAGUGCAGGAGAGGAAAGUGGAAUUCCUAGUGUAGCGGUGAAAUGCUUAGAUAUUAGGAGGAAUACCAGUGGCGAAGGCGACUUGCUGGAAUCUAACUGACGCUGAGGUACGAAAGCGUGGGGAGCAAACAGG